CCCAGACUCCUACGGGAGGCAGCAGUGAGGAAUAUUGGUCAAUGGCCGAAGGGCUGAACCAGCCAAGCCGCGUGAAGGAAUAAGGCCCUACGGGUCGUAAACUUCUUUAGUCAGGGAACAAAGGGUGCCACGUGUGGCGCUGUGAGUGUACCUGAAGAAUAAGCAUCGGCUAACUCCGUGCCAGCAGCCGCGGUAAUACGGAGGAUGCGAGCGUUAUCCGGAUUUAUUGGGUUUAAAGGGUGCGCAGGCGGAGGUGCAAGUCAGCGGUCAAAUUGCGGGGCUCAACCCCGUACUGCCGUUGAAACUGCAUCCCUUGAGUGCGCGAGAAGUAUGCGGAAUGCGUGGUGUAGCGGUGAAAUGCAUAGAUAUCACGCAGAACUCCGAUUGCGAAGGCAGCAUACCGGCGCGCAACUGACGCUCAUGCACGAAAGCGUGGGUAUCGAACAGGAUUAGAUACCCGCGUA
Molecule: ribosomal RNA, 464 nt
Filed under: uncultured bacterium
Lineage: Bacteria
Description: bacterial SSU rRNA
Rfam family: Bacterial small subunit ribosomal RNA
Source: RNAcentral